This 68-nucleotide ribosomal RNA is filed under the name Anaphothrips sudanensis. RNAcentral describes it as "partial 28S ribosomal RNA". It matches the Rfam family "Eukaryotic large subunit ribosomal RNA", at positions 1 to 69 of the family's 3401-position model. The record is from RNAcentral. Lineage: Eukaryota; Metazoa; Arthropoda; Insecta; Thysanoptera; Thripidae.
CGACCUCAGCUCAGGAGAGAUUACCCCUGAAUUUAAGCAUAUUAAUAAGGGGAGGAAAAGAAACUAAC